UCUGCAUCUAUAUACCAAAGCUUGUACAAAACCAAACAAUAAUUUAUUUGUCAAGACAAAGGUAGGGGUGUGACUUCUCAGAAAUGUUCAUCUGUUUCCCAGAACUGCCUGUUGGUCUGUUGUUGAGCGGCUGGUAUCACCCUCCCCCCCAUUAUCCCCCACGUUGUUCCACCUCCGCUUCUGGGAGGAACCAGGCGAGGCCACAGAUCAGACUCCUCCAUCUCAUCCCACCAACUCUGUCAGUCCACCAGGCCCCACAAUGCAGCCUCCACACCACUGCAGUAACAGCCACAUCUUCCCAUCACAAAGCUUCAGUACUAUCUGAAUGUGUUGAAGUACCAUCCAGGAUCCUGUGGCAACGUCAAUGUGAAACAGCAUUGACCCCUGAUCACCACCAACCAGGACUCCACAGCGGUUGCCUUGGACACCCAGUGAAACAGCAUUGACCCCUGAUCACCACCAACCAGGGCCCCACAGUGGUUGCCUUGGACACCCAGUGAAACAGCAUUGACCCCUGAUCACCACCAACCAGGGCCCCACAGCGGUUGCCUUGGACACCCAGUGAAACAGCAUUGACCCCUGAUCACCACCAACCAGGGCCCCACAGUGGUUGCCUUGGACACCCAGUGAAACAGCAUUGACCCCUGAUCACCACCAACCAGGGCCCCACAGCGGUUGCCUUGGACACCCAGUGAAACAGCAUUGACCCCUGAUCACCACCAACCAGGGCCCCACAGCGGUUGCCUUGGACACCCAGUGAAACAGCAUUGAUCCCUGAUCACCACCAACCAGGGCCCCACAGCGGUUGCCUUGGACACCCAGUGAAACAGCAUUGACCCCUGAUCACCACCAACCAGGGCCCCACAGCGGUUGCCUUGGACACCCAGUGAAACAGCAUUGACCCCUGAUCACCACCAACCAGGGCCCCACAGCGGUUGCCUUGGAUACCCAGUGAAACAGCAUUGACCCCUGAUCACCACCAACCAGGGCUCCACAGUGGUUGCCUUGGAUACCCAGUGAAACAGCAUUGACCCCUGAUCACCACCAACCAGGGCCCCACAGCGGUUGCCUUGGACACCCAGUGAAACAGCAUUGACCCCUGAUCACCACCAACCAGGGCCCCACAGCGGUUGCCUUGGAUACCCAGUGAAACAGCAUUGACCCCUGAUCACCACCAACCAGGGCUCCACAGUGGUUGCCUUGGACACCCAGUGAAACCAGAGAGAGCACACCAGGCAGCAGGGAGCACUUUGAUGUGAUUGGCUGUUCAGCAGGAAGAUUCAUCUGGCUAAA
Molecule: long non-coding RNA, 1293 nt
Organism: Salvelinus namaycush (lake trout)
Lineage: Eukaryota; Metazoa; Chordata; Actinopteri; Salmoniformes; Salmonidae
Exons: 3
Source: RefSeq, a predicted model, not a curated record